RNAcentral lists this microRNA (21 nucleotides) under Scyliorhinus torazame (cloudy catshark). Its description in RNAcentral is "Sto-Mir-181-P2c_3p* (star (passenger))". The record is from RNAcentral. Lineage: Eukaryota; Metazoa; Chordata; Chondrichthyes; Carcharhiniformes; Scyliorhinidae.
CUCGCUGACCAAUGAGUGGAA